UCUCCGAAUCUUCCUGCCAUUCCAUCUUAAUAUCCUCAAGGAAGUCGCUGGUUGGAAGUAAAACGAUCGAAAAUUCAGCUUGCUCAGGUAGCUACGAAAGCGCAUCUGCAACAACAUUCUCUUUCCACUUUUUGUAAGUUAUUUCAUAAUCAAAUCCAAGAAGUUUUGUUACCCAUUUUUGCUGCUCGGGGGAAGAUAUCUUUUGCUCCAAGAGAUAUUUUAGGCUUU
RNAcentral lists this long non-coding RNA (228 nucleotides) under Musa acuminata (dwarf banana). RNAcentral describes it as "long non-coding RNA (MACU_LNC011112)". The record is from RNAcentral. Lineage: Eukaryota; Viridiplantae; Streptophyta; Magnoliopsida; Zingiberales; Musaceae.